RNAcentral lists this ribosomal RNA (460 nucleotides) under uncultured bacterium. RNAcentral's name for it is "partial 16S ribosomal RNA". It matches the Rfam family "Bacterial small subunit ribosomal RNA", at positions 339 to 795 of the family's 1533-position model. The record is from RNAcentral.
CUACGGGUGGCAGCAGUAAGGAAUAUUGCGCAAUGGAGGCAACUCUGACGCAGCCAUGCCGCGUGCAGGAAGAAGGCCUUAUGGGUCGUAAACUGCUUUUAUUUAGGAAUAAACCCCCGAACGUGUUCGGGGCUGAAGGUACUAAACGAAUAAGCACCGGCUAACUCCGUGCCAGCAGCCGCGGUAAUACGGAGGGUGGCAAGAGUUAUCCGGAUUUAUUGGGUUUAAAGGGUGCGCAGGCGGGCUAUUAAGUCAGUGGUGAAAUCCCGGGGCUCAACUCCGGAACUGCCAUUGAUACUGAUAGUCUUGAGUUUGGUUGAAGUGGGCGGAAUGUAGCAUGUAGCGGUGAAAUGCAUAGAUAUGCUACAGAACACCAAUCGCGAAGGCAGCUCACUAAGCCAAAACUGACGCUCAUGCACGAAAGCGUGGGGAUCAAACAGGAUUAGAUACCCGUGUAGUC